UUCUGGCUGACGAGUUCAAAAUAGGACGAAAUAAGCAUCCUAGAU
RNAcentral lists this non-coding RNA (45 nucleotides) under Trichobilharzia regenti. The record is from RNAcentral. Lineage: Eukaryota; Metazoa; Platyhelminthes; Trematoda; Strigeidida; Schistosomatidae.